AGAGUUUGAUCCUGGCUCAGAACGAACGCUGGCGGCGUGGAUAAGGCAUGCAAGUCGAACGCGAAAGCCACCUUCGGGUGGUUAUUAGAGUGGCAAACGGGUGAGUAACACGUGAGCAAUCUGCCCUUGGGUGGGGAAUAACUCCGGGAAACCGGAGCUAAUACCGCAUAACGUUGCGAGGUCCUAUGUCCUUGCAACCAAAGGGGGGGAUCUUCGGACCUCCCGCCUGGGGAUGAGCUCGCGCCCGAUUAGCUAGUUGGUGAGGUAACGGCUCACCAAGGCUGUGAUCGGUAGCCGGUCUGAGAGGAUGGCUGGCCACACUGGGAUUGAGAUACGCCCCAGACUCCUACGGGGGGCAGCAGUCUAGAAGCUUCCGCAAUGGGCGAAAGCCUGACGGAGCGACGCCGCGUGCAGGACGAAGGUUUUCGGAUUGUAAACUGCUUUCGACAGGGAAGAACGGCUCGAUGGCCAACACCCAUCGUGUUUGACGGUACCUGGAGAAGAAGCCCUGGCUAACUCCGUGCCAGCAGCCGCGGUAAUACGGAGAGGGCAAGCGUUGUUCGGAUUUAUUGGGCGUAAAGCGCGCGCAGGCGGCCAAGUAAGUCGGGUGUUAAAUACCUACCGCUCACCGGAGGGAAUGCGCCCGAUACUGCAUGGCUUGAGUACGAGAGAGGAAUCUGGAAUUCCGGGUGUAGUGGUGAAAUUCGUAGAUAUUGGGAGGAACAUCCGUGGCGAAGGCGACUCUCUGGACCAAUACUGACGCUGAGACGCGAAAGCGUGGGGAGCAAACAGGAUUAGAUACCCUGGUAGUCCACGCCGUAAACGAUGAGAACUAGGUGUAGCGGGUAUUGACCCCUGCUGUGCCGAAGUUAACGCAUUAAGUUCUCCGCCUGGGGAGUACGGCCGCAAGGCUAAAACUCAAAGGAAUUGACGGGGACCCGCACAAGCGGUGGAGCAUGUGGUUUAAUUCGACGCAACGCGAAGAACCUUACCUGGAUUUGACAUCCUCUGCUAACCCCGGAAACGGGGUCUUUCCGACUUGUCGGAACAGAGUGACAGGUGCUGCAUGGCUGUCGUCAGCUCGUGUCGUGAGAUGUUGGGUUAAGUCCCGCAACGAGCGCAACCCUUGUUUUUAGUUGCCAGUAUUAAGUUAGGCACUCUAAAGAUACUGCCUCGGUUAGCGGGGAGGAAGGUGGGGAUGACGUCAAGUCCUCAUGGCCUUUAUAUCCAGGGCUACACACGUGCUACAAUGGACUGUACAAAGGGUUGCAACACCGCGAGGUGAAGCUAAUCUCAAAAAGCAGUUCUCAGUUCGGAUUGAAGUCUGCAACUCGACUUCAUGAAGGUGGAAUCGCUAGUAAUCGUGGAUCAGCAUGCCACGGUGAAUACGUUCCCGGGUCUUGUACACACCGCCCGUCACACCACGAAAGUCGGCUGUACCAGAAGUUGCUGGGCUAACCCUUCGGGGAGGCAGGUACCUAAGGUACGGUCGGUAAUUGGGGUGAAGUCGUAACAAGGUA
Molecule: ribosomal RNA, 1520 nt
Filed under: metagenome
Description: bacterial SSU rRNA
Rfam family: Bacterial small subunit ribosomal RNA
Source: RNAcentral